This 77-nucleotide transfer RNA is filed under the name Holosporaceae bacterium. Its description in RNAcentral is "tRNA-Trp". It matches the Rfam family "tRNA". Rfam says of the family: Transfer RNA (tRNA) molecules are approximately 80 nucleotides in length. The record is from RNAcentral. Lineage: Bacteria; Pseudomonadati; Pseudomonadota; Alphaproteobacteria; Holosporales; Holosporaceae.
GGGGGUGUAGCUCAAUUGGCUAGAGUGGCGGUCUCCAAAACCGCAGGUUGAGGGUUCGAUUCCUUCCGCCCCUGCCA